GGGUUGUGAGGUUAAGCGAAUAAGCGUACACGGUGGAUGCCUAGGCAAUCAGAGGCGAUGAAGGACGUGCUAAUCUGCGAAAAGCGUCGGUAAGGUGAUAUGAACCGUUAUACCCGACGAUAUCCGAAUGGGGAAACCCAGUAUCCAAUGGAUACUAUCAUUAACUGAAUCCAUAGGUUAAUGAGGCGAACCGGGAGAACUGAAACAUCUCAGUACCCCGAGGAAAAGAAAUCAACCGAGAUUCCCCUAGUAGCGGCGAGCGAACGGGGAGCAGCCCAGAGUCUUAAUCAAUAACAGUGUCAGGAGAACGGUCUGGAAAGUCCGGCAGUAAAGGGUGAUAGCCCCGUAUCUGAAGAUGCUGUUAUUGUGAACUCGACGAGUAGGGCGGGACACGUGUUAUCCUGUCUGAAUAUGGGGGGACCAUCCUCCAAGGCUAAAUACUCCUGAUUGACCGAUAGUGAACCAGUACCGUGAGGGAAAGGCGAAAAGAACCCCGGCGAGGGGAGUGAAAAAGAACCUGAAACCGUGUACGUACAAGCAGUAGGAGCCUCUUUAUGGGGUGACUGCGUACCUUUUGUAUAAUGGGUCAGCGACUUAUAUUCUGUAGCAAGGUUAACCGUAUAGGGGAGCCGUAGGGAAACCGAGUCUUAACUGGGCGAAUGAGUUGCAGGGUAUAGACCCGAAACCCGGUGAUCUAUCCAUGGGCAGGUUGAAGGUUGGGUAACACUAACUGGAGGACCGAACCGACUAAUGUUGAAAAAUUAGCGGAUGACUUGUGGAUGGGGGUGAAAGGCCAAUCAAACCGGGAGAUAGCUGGUUCUCCCCGAAAGCUAUUUAGGUAGCGCCUCGUGAACUCAUCUUCGGGGGUAGAGCACUGUUUCGACUAGGGGGUCAUCCCGACUUACCAACUCGAUGCAAACUGCGAAUACCGAAGAAUGUUAUCACGGGAGACACACGGCGGGUGCUAACGUCCGUCGUGAAGAGGGAAACAACCCAGACCGCCAGCUAAGGUCCCAAAGUCAUGGUUAAGUGGGAAACGAAGUGGGAAGGCUCAGACAGCCAGGAUGUUGGCUUAGAAGCAGCCAUCAUUUAAAGAAAGCGUAAUAGCUCACUGGUCGAGUCGGCCCGCGCGGAAGAUGUAACGGGGCUAAACCAUGCACCGAAGCUGCGGCAGCGACACAAAGUGUUGUUGGGUAGGGGAGCGUUCUGUAAGCCUGCGAAGGUGUACUGUGAGGUAUGCUGGAGGUAUCAGAAGUGCGAAUGCUGACAUAAGUAACGAUAAUGCGGGUGAAAAACCCGCACGCCGGAAGACCAAGGGUUCCUGUCCAACGUUAAUCGGGGCAGGGUGAGUCGACCCCUAAGGCGAGGCUGAAAAGCGUAGUCGAUGGGAAACGGGUUAAUAUUCCCGUACUGGUGGUAACUGCGAUGGGGGAACGGAGAAGGCUAGGUUGUCCGGGCGACGGUCGUCCCGGUUCAAGCAGGUAGGCAGAGUGAUUAGGCAAAUCCGGUCACUUAAUGCUGAGAUGUGAUGACGAACCACCAAGGUGGUGAAGCAAUUGAUGCCCCGCUUCCAGGAAAAGCCUCUAAGCUUCAGGUUACCAACAAUCGUACCCCAAACCGACACAGGUGGUCAGGUAGAGAAUACUCAGGCGCUUGAGAGAACUCGGGUGAAGGAACUAGGCAAAAUGGUGCCGUAACUUCGGGAGAAGGCACGCUGGCGGUAGGUAAAGUCCCUCGCGGACGGCGCUGAAGCCAGUCGAAGAUACCAGCUGGCUGCAACUGUUUAUUAAAAACACAGCACUGUGCAAACACGAAAGUGGACGUAUACGGUGUGACGCCUGCCCGGUGCUGGAAGGUUAAUUGAUGGGGUUAGCGUAAGCGAAGCUCCUGAUCGAAGCCCCAGUAAACGGCGGCCGUAACUAUAACGGUCCUAAGGUAGCGAAAUUCCUUGUCGGGUAAGUUCCGACCUGCACGAAUGGCGUAAUGAUGGCCAGGCUGUCUCCACCCGAGACUCAGUGAAAUUGAACUCGCUGUGAAGAUGCAGUGUACCCGCGGCAAGACGGAAAGACCCCGUGAACCUUUACUAUAGCUUGACACUGAACAUUGAGCCUUGAUGUGUAGGAUAGGUGGGAGGCUUUGAAGUGUGGACGCCAGUCUGCAUGGAGCCAACCUUGAAAUACCACCCUUUAACGUUUGAUGUUCUAACCUAGGCCCAUAAACUGGGUCGGGGACCGUGUCUGGUGGGUAGUUUGACUGGGGCGGUCUCCUCCUAAAGAGUAACGGAGGAGCACGAAGGUUGGCUAAGCAUGGUCGGACAUCAUGCGGUUAGUGCAAAGGCAUAAGCCAGCUUGACUGCGAGAGUGACGGCUCGAGCAGGUACGAAAGUAGGUCUUAGUGAUCCGGUGGUUCUGAAUGGAAGGGCCAUCGCUCAACGGAUAAAAGGUACUCCGGGGAUAACAGGCUGAUACCGCCCAAGAGUUCAUAUCGACGGCGGUGUUUGGCACCUCGAUGUCGGCUCAUCACAUCCUGGGGCUGAAGUAGGUCCCAAGGGUAUGGCUGUUCGCCAUUUAAAGUGGUACGCGAGCUGGGUUUAGAACGUCGUGAGACAGUUCGGUCCCUAUCUGCCGUGGGCGUUGGAAGAUUGAGAGGGGUUGCUCCUAGUACGAGAGGACCGGAGUGAACGCACCACUGGUGUUCGGGUUGUCAUGCCAAUGGCAUUGCCCGGUAGCUAAGUGCGGAAGAGAUAACCGCUGAAAGCAUCUAAGCGGGAAACUUGCCUCGAGAUGAGUCUUCCCUGUCGCUUUAAGCGACCUAAAGGAACGUUUAAGACUAAGACGUUGAUAGGCUGGGUGUGUAAGCGUAGCGAUACGUUGAGCUAACCAGUACUAAUGAACCGUGAGGCUUAACCUGACAACACCGAAGGUGUUU
RNAcentral lists this ribosomal RNA (2928 nucleotides) under Proteus mirabilis. RNAcentral describes it as "23S ribosomal RNA". It matches the Rfam family "Bacterial large subunit ribosomal RNA". The record is from RNAcentral. Lineage: Bacteria; Pseudomonadati; Pseudomonadota; Gammaproteobacteria; Enterobacterales; Morganellaceae.